UAUCUAUAUAGCGUAUUUCUCAAACCGGAAAGUUCACUUUCUACUCUUCCCACUAAAUCCCACAUGAUCAUGAUGAUGAAAGCAUGUCAGCCCUGUCAGUGUCACCCCAACAGCAGAGCUAUCUAAUUUUGAAUUGAACAGAAUGUAAAUUAAGUGAAUGAGUUAUAAAUAUUAAAUAAUAAUAUGAAUAAAUAUUCUUUAUUUAGUUUGUUCUUUAUUCUCAAUUCUUUUUUUUAUAAAUAAUCCCAUUAUUCUCAAUGAUUCUUUAUUCAAUAUUUCUGCUUAUUUUACUAUCUGUUUUUUAUUUUGCACUUUUUGUCAUUAUUUUCUAUUCUUAAACCCCCAUCUUGAUUCCAGACUCUCAAAUGUACGAAAGCUUGCAUGGUACGUCGAACACGGAAACCCGGAAAUCUUUUCACCGUUACCAUUUUUUGUACUAUGUCGCAAAAUCCAUGGACGCUCACGCGAUCAUCUGCUGCUGUCUUUUUAAAAGUUUUUAAGAAUGGACAGAGAUAGAUGAUACAAGGAACUUUGGUUUUUCAAACUGGUGAAUCAAAAAUGUAUUAUAAACAGAUAAAUUGAAAAGGGUGACUUGUCGAUUAACUGGAAGAAACCGGGGAACGAAACAUAGAAAAUUUAUGAAACUAUUGAAUGUCAACGCAACGAAAGUCAAAGUGUUUUUGUUUUGAUGGAUAAUUUUACGUACCCUAAAAGCGCAACGAAAGGAACUGAAAAGUAAAGAAACAGAACCAAAGAACAUUAAUUUUAGAUUAAUACAAUAUUGAACUCAAA
Mytilus californianus (California mussel) is the source of this 792-nucleotide long non-coding RNA. RefSeq lists it as uncharacterized. The transcript has 2 exons. The record is from RefSeq and is a predicted model, not a curated record. NCBI's taxonomy places the organism in Eukaryota, Metazoa, Mollusca, Bivalvia, Mytilida, Mytilidae.